AAACUGGAGAGUUUGAUCCUGGCUCAGAACGAACGCUGGCGGCGUGCCUAACACAUGCAAGUCGUGCGAGAAAAGGAACUUCGGUUCCCAAGUAAAGCGGCGCAAGGGUGAGUAGCGCGUGGGUAAGCUACCUCCGAGAUCGGGACAACCUGGCGAAAGCCGGGCUAAUACCGAAUAAGCCCACGGGAGCUUCGGCUUCCGCGGGAAAAGGGUGCCCUCUCCAAGGAAGGUACCGCUCGAAGAUGUGCCCGCGUCCGAUUAGCUAGUUGGUGAGGUAACGGCUCACCAAGGCUGAGAUCGGUAGCUGGUCUGAGAGGACGAUCAGCCACACUGGGACUGAGACACGGCCCAGACUCCUACGGGAGGCAGCAGUGGGGAAUAUUGCGCAAUGGGGGAAACCCUGACG
Molecule: ribosomal RNA, 406 nt
Filed under: Deltaproteobacteria bacterium
Lineage: Bacteria; Pseudomonadati; Myxococcota; Myxococcia
Description: bacterial SSU rRNA
Rfam family: Bacterial small subunit ribosomal RNA
Source: RNAcentral